Long non-coding RNA from Trifolium pratense (red clover), 1866 nucleotides. RefSeq lists it as uncharacterized. NCBI's taxonomy places the organism in Eukaryota, Viridiplantae, Streptophyta, Magnoliopsida, Fabales, Fabaceae. The transcript has 5 exons. The record is from RefSeq and is a predicted model, not a curated record.
UCCAUAUGUGUCUCGAUACGCCUCCACUCUCACAUCCAUCAUAAAAUCUCGCCGUCAGUAGGGUUCUAGGAGCCGGCGAACCAACAUACACCUCUACAGUCUCGCACCUCAACACUCGAUCUUUUUCGCUCCAACUCCGACUUCGCAAUCAGUUUAGCAAUUUGGCUUCUCCUUCUGAUUCCGAUUAAAACGUCUUCAUCUUUCCCAUUUAUUGGAUAAUGCAAAUGCCCUCUGCAUAUAUCCAAUUCUAACGUUUCUCUCGUAAGUGAUGUUUGCGCUUAUACAGCUGGACGUUCCUAUAAAAAUGUUGUUUCUUGCUGAUGUCAAGAUAAUGACUAUCAGUUUCAGUAACAUAUAUUUCAAAAGAAAUAUCCUAGGCAUAGUAAAAUUCCUUGCUUUGUUACAUGGAGAUUGGAUUCACAAAUAUUUGAUGAGAUAAUAAUAGGAAAGGAAAUUAGAAGCAAGUGUUGGUGCAAGGAUGCAGUGGAUGGAUAGAGCAAUACAUUUUGAAGACAAUAUAUCAAAGGCAAACUCCUAGGUGGGUCUAAAUUAGCAAGCUCCCUAUAUGUGUGUGUUAUUAGCAACCCCAUAUUCGUCGGAUUUUUCUAACGACAGCGACACCAACACUCUCCGGUCUGUGGUGGUUGCGAAGGCAUGCGGCGCUGUUGACGGUAACCCAUCCAAGGCCGUUUGCUCCUUCCCUUUCUUUCUCAUGCUCUCCGCCGUGUAUCUCUCCCCGUCGAAGAACUCGCGUAAAUCCGGUGGCCUGGGUGGCGGUGCUCGUCGUGGGCGAGCCACCACAAGUUGAUCGGAGACCGAGAUGUCCGGCGGCUCCGGUGGUGGUUCAAGAGCAACUACUUGCUCUCUUCUUCUGUACACCUCAUUCAUCGUCUUCACCAUCACUUUACUGUUCACUACUUGCAACCUUUCCACCGUUGCAGUAACGAUUGUUUCAGAUCCAGAGCCAAUUUGUUUGAAGCGAACUUCUUCUCCAUCAUCAAUGGAUGCCUCAAUCACUACUUCAACUUCUUCGUCCUUGGACUCAUCAGUAAUCUCUUCUAUCCCUUCAACUACAACCGUGUGAUUUUUCACGAUUGAUGGUCGUUCCGAUGAAUUCGUCAACAUUCGAGAAUCUAUCGUUUUCUCUGCAUACUUCACCUGUAACUUCUGCGUCAUUGAAUCAUCGCCGAUUUCUGUAUUCACCUUUUGAAUCUCUUCUAUCCGCGGAGGUGACUUCGGACCUAUCCGCUUAAUCAAUUCACUCAACACGAGACUUUGUUGUUGCAUUUGCUGGCCAUGUUGUUGCAUCUGCUGAGUAAGCUCUUGCAGCGUUGGUGUCACGUUAAGCAUCGGUGUCUUCAAAACUCCCAUCCGGUCAUCCAUCUUGUUUAUGGUGUGUAUGGAUCCGGAAAGUCGGACCAAUUGAUGGAACUCUAGAUCUCAAAUAAUGAAAAUAAGAUUGAAAUGGAGAAAUAUGUAAUUGUAUUGAUUGAAACAGAUGAACAAUUUAGUAGAGAGAGUCUACUAGUCCCAAAGCACUGAGUGCCCCAAAAUCACUAAAAGUGAUCCCAUUAAUUCUCACUGAAAUUCUAACUAAGUUAUUCCUUGUGUUCACUACUCUUUAUAUAGUAGAAUAAGUCUUCAUGCAUUUCAUGCUCUCAUGCCAUCUAAUCAUUCCUUUCCACACUUUAGUCUUGGGCCAAAGUCAAGGCCCACUUUCACAUUCAAGUCUCUAUCAGUGUUGGUGCAAGGUUUAAUGCAGUGGAUGGUUGCUUAGAGCAAUACAUUUUGAAGACAAUAUGUCAAAGGCUUUUAACAGGAUUUUUGUAUAAUAAUAUUUAAAUAUUUAUUAUUAUUAUUAUUAUU